GAAAGAACAAAGUGACACAAUAAAAUAUAGAUCGAGUGGCAUAAAGAAUGAGUAAAGUUAAAGAACAAUGAUUGCUAGAGUUAGCAAAAUAAAGUAAUGUAAAGAACACUAGAGUUAGUGUGUGGCAUCAAAGAGAAAUGUGACGCAAAGAACGAUGAAAAUGAGUAGAGACAAGUAAAGAAAAUGAAAGUGGCAUAAAGAACGAGUAAAGUUAAAGAACAAUGAUUGCUAGAGUUAGCAAAAUAAAGUGAUAUAAAGAACA
Molecule: long non-coding RNA, 262 nt
Filed under: Ananas comosus (pineapple)
Lineage: Eukaryota; Viridiplantae; Streptophyta; Magnoliopsida; Poales; Bromeliaceae
Description: long non-coding RNA (ACOM_LNC030639)
Source: RNAcentral